GCCAUCUUUUUUUUGGGCGAUAUGACAUUAAUCGUGAAUAGACUGCAAACUUUUGAUAUUAUGCUGUUGUUCAAAUUUAGUACAUUGUCAGAUAUGAUCCUUUUGGCGUUCCAUACUGACAUAUGAUUUUUCACGAAUUUGCUAACUGUCGACUUUGUGACAUUGACAUAUGAAGCAGCUUCCAUUCAUUUAGUAAAGUAACUGACGAUCAC
RNAcentral lists this long non-coding RNA (212 nucleotides) under Gossypium raimondii (Peruvian cotton). RNAcentral describes it as "long non-coding RNA (GRAI_LNC011163)". The record is from RNAcentral. Lineage: Eukaryota; Viridiplantae; Streptophyta; Magnoliopsida; Malvales; Malvaceae.